Molecule: ribosomal RNA, 305 nt
Filed under: uncultured bacterium
Lineage: Bacteria
Description: bacterial SSU rRNA
Rfam family: Bacterial small subunit ribosomal RNA
Source: RNAcentral
UCCUACGGGGGGCAGCAGUGGGGAAUAUUGCGCAAUGGGCGAAAGCCUGACGCAGCGACGCCGCGUGAGGGAUGAAGGUCUUCGGAUCGUAAACCUCUGUCAGCAGGGAAGAACGGUCACUGUGCUAAUAAGCAGUGAAUUGACGGUACCUGCAAAGGAAGCACCGGCUAACUCCGUGCCAGCAGCCGCGGUAAUACGGAGGGUGCGAGCGUUAAUCGGAAUUACUGGGCGUAAAGCGCUCGUAGGCGGUAUGUCAAGUCAAGGGUGAAAUCCCCGCGCUCAACAUGGGAACUGCCUUUGAAACU